RNAcentral lists this ribosomal RNA (294 nucleotides) under uncultured bacterium. RNAcentral describes it as "partial 16S ribosomal RNA". It matches the Rfam family "Bacterial small subunit ribosomal RNA", at positions 524 to 815 of the family's 1533-position model. The record is from RNAcentral.
UACGAAGGGGGCAAGCGUUGUUCGGAAUGACUGGGCGUAAAGGGCGCGUAGGCGGUGCGUUGCGUCAGAUGUGAAAUCCCCGGGCUCAACCUGGGAAUGGCAUUUGAUACGGGCGUACUGGAAUCCGUGAGAGGUUGGUGGAAUUCCCAGUGUAGAGGUGAAAUUCGUAGAUAUUGGGAAGAACACCAGUGGCGAAGGCGGCCAACUGGCACGGUAUUGACGCUGAGGCGCGAAAGCGUGGGGAGCAAACAGGAUUAGAAAACCCCCGGUAGUACCGUCCGUAGACGUACGUCG